GCGCUUGCUUUGGCAGCACAUAUACUAAAAUUAGAACAAGACAGACAGGGUUAGCACGGCCCCUGUACAAGGAUAGCAUGCAAAUUCAUGAAGCGUUCCAUAUUUUU
Molecule: small nuclear RNA, 107 nt
Filed under: Propithecus coquereli (Coquerel's sifaka)
Lineage: Eukaryota; Metazoa; Chordata; Mammalia; Primates; Indriidae
Source: RNAcentral